GUCCUAGCCCUAAACGAUGGAUGCUUGGUGUAGCGGGUACCCAAUCCCGCUGUGCCGUAGUUAACGCGAUAAGCAUCCCGCCUGGGGAGUACGGUCGCAAGGCUGAAACUCAAAAGGAAUUGACGGGGGCCCGCACAAGCGGUGGAGCAUGUGGUUCAAUUCGACGCAACGCGAAGAACCUUACCUGGGCUCGAAGCGCAGUGGACCGGGGUAGAAAUAUCCCUUUCCGCAAGGACUGCUGCGGAGGUGCUGCAUGGCUGUCGU
This 264-nucleotide ribosomal RNA is filed under the name uncultured bacterium. RNAcentral's name for it is "partial 16S ribosomal RNA". It matches the Rfam family "Bacterial small subunit ribosomal RNA", at positions 793 to 1055 of the family's 1533-position model. The record is from RNAcentral.